CUGCUCCUCAUAACUCUGUGCUCUGGAAGAGUGAUAAUUUGUGCUAUGUACUCACAUGGGAUGGCAGAGAAAGAAGAAGAUGAAAAGUGCAAGGCUUGUCUGGGCUCAAAUUAAGAAUCUGAAUUGGAAGCCACAGAUGCAAUAUCUGUAUAUUAC
RNAcentral lists this long non-coding RNA (156 nucleotides) under Mustela putorius furo (domestic ferret). Its description in RNAcentral is "lncRNA (ENSMPUG00000029699.1)". The record is from RNAcentral. Lineage: Eukaryota; Metazoa; Chordata; Mammalia; Carnivora; Mustelidae.